RNAcentral lists this long non-coding RNA (732 nucleotides) under Homo sapiens (human). RNAcentral describes it as "uncharacterized LOC101929050, transcript variant 8 (LOC101929050)". The record is from RNAcentral. Lineage: Eukaryota; Metazoa; Chordata; Mammalia; Primates; Hominidae.
CGAGGCGCGCACCACGCGGCCCCUUCCUCCAGGCAUUCGCACCACCCCCCACUCCCGUUGCAUGCUGGGAUUGUAGUUGAUCGCCUGCGAUCAACGGCCGGAAGCGGCUAAAACUACUCCUGCCUGCAUACCCCGCAGGAGCAAACCGCGCCAUGUCUCCCUCCAGGGAUCCGCACCGCUCACAAUCCUGUUUAGUGCUGGGAUUGUAGUCCUGCGAGCCUACGACUAAUAGCUGGAUUAACUCUUAAGUACUCCACAACUACACGCUUUUGAAACUGGCGUUGGCAUAGCGUUAGUUCUGUGCAGGGCGGACGCAGCAGGACAGAAUCUCCCUGGGCAUCUUUUCGGAGCAUCAAUUUUACUGCAAAAUUUUGAAAAAACAAAUUUAAUUGAUUUCCAAGGUUUGUCAAGGAGGACAGAAACUCAGAGCACCCUGCACUUGGGGAUCGGCACUAGGAGCUGCUCUCUGGAUGGGGAGAUGGGAGCUAGCAGCUCACAAUGGGGUCACAAGACAUCUGAAAAUACUCAGAAGUUACAAGAAUUCAUAAAAUACCCACCAAAGCUAAUAGAAAACAUGGAACCUUCCAGGACAAGAAGUAAAUUAAAAGAACAACCCAGAGGAGUAAUCAAAGUGAGAAGCCAGUGCCGCCUCCAGGUACUGGAUGAUCACAGGGACCUCAGGCUUUGGGGAUUAUUCAACUACCUUCUUGGAAUAAACAACAAAAAAAGUAC